CCGGCUGCUCCGGCUUCUCCAGAUCUCAGCAAGUUCCGGGGGCCGGUCUCCGCGGCCAGGCUCUCGGCGUCGAUAAAGAUUGGAGGGUCCUGGCCACCACAAAGACGACAGGCGUGAGCCGCCGGCGUGUGCUUGGAACCGCAGCGUGCGGCGCGCGGGCUCAGUGGCCGUGUGGCCGCAGCGCUCAGAGUCUGGAGGAAGAGGCUCGGGAGCAGAGAAACGCCGCCGGACAGAGAGGCACCCCGGGGCUCCGUCCCAGGUUUGCUUCUCAUCGGGAGGAGUGGUCUUGACCAAAUGAUUCCUCCCCUUCAUCCAAUAAUAAGAGCAGGGAAUUUGCUGUGUGCCACGAACAAUGCCAAGGACUUAAUGUGCCGGGUCUCAGGAGAACUGAGCUAUUCAGGAGGUCAGAGCUUCUCCAGUGAUGGAUUCUGGAGAGAGGAGGCCAGUGGAGCAGGAAGAAGACCUUGCCCCCCUACACUAGAUCGGGAUGGAUGUUCCUAAAGGAGUAGAAAAGGGAGACCCUCAGGGUUCAGUCUAACCUCACUGCUUCAGCUGCAGCCACUGUCACUUGCCAGAUUCCACAGCUACCUUUCUCAGAAUAAGGACAUUUCCUGUUGAAGACUGUGGGAUGCUGCCCCUCAUUUCUCUCUUUCUGGAUGCUCAACACUCCUGUGCAAGUCUGACAGGACCCAACCUGACCUGAGGGUGAUGGGCUAGACUGGACUCACCACCUCAAUUCUUCCCCAGGACAGAGUCAUGACCACUAACCCAAUCCCAGAGUCCCUGAGAGGGUGCUGCCCAAGGAAGCAGCAUCGGUCUGUGCUGUGUGCUCCACAUUCCAGAAGCAAAUUUCUCUUCCAGUUUUACUUUAGCUGACUCUGAUUUUAAAACGUGACUUUGAGUCCUCAGAACAAUGAGUUGCAUAAUUUGGAGGCAUAUGUAGUAGACCGGAUGUGUGACCCCACCCCUAAUGUGUCAUGCCCUGACUGACUGAGCUGUUCUCUUCUCACAGGAAGGUGAGCCACACAGGAUGGUGACUGCAUGGCAGGCCACUUUAAAAUAGUUUCUGUAAUUGAAAAUGUUAUAAAGCCACCUGGUUAAAAAGAAAUUCAAGCACUAGAGAAAAGUAGACAGUGAAGAUUCAUUUCCGUCACCCCUCUCCAGAAAUCAUCUCUGCCUGCUCAUGACAGAAACGUCCCAUCAUUGAGCUCUUCUGCCAGACAGGCCUGGAUUUCCCAUGCCUCAACAAGCCCUGUGAAUAUCUUCUCUCUCUCUUUUUUUUUUCCCUCAAAUUCUUAUUCUUUGGCCAAUUUAGAUUCUGUUUUGGGGUAUUCUGAAGUUUCGCUUUUCACAGUGUGCUUCAGGGGGAUCCCCCCAGCAAGGCAGGAAGCGUGGUGUGGUGCACAUUGACAGGAAGCUGGCAGACAAGAACAGCUCUGGGAGGCUACUGACUUCAGCCUUGUCCCCUAGCUAGUCUCUUGCACACGUGGUCUCUGGCAAGAGGACGCCCACUUCUGGGUGGGGCAGAAUGAGGGAGACUUGCUCACAAGGAGGAUGUGCUGCCGCCACCUGGGAGGGAAAGAUUGUGGAGAAGCUGUCGGGGAAACUGCUAGGGAGGUCAGGAGGGAGGGCAGACUGUACCCCUCCCCCGCCCUCUGUAAGUACCCCCGUGGAAGGAACCUAACAAUCUCCUGAACUUCUGUCUCAGUUUCUGAUCUGUAAGGAUUAAUGGUGCCUUAGAGGUGGCUGUGCAGGUGGAGUAGAUAACUGACAUGAAAAUGGGAUGGUUUGAUUCUUCUGUUUACAUCCAUUUAUCUCUUUUCUCUUCCUAUUUCGCCUUCCUCUUUUUCAUCUCAUUCCCCUGGAUCUGAAGAGAAACCAUCAGCAAUGGAGAAACAGACAUAGACAACAGACCUAUGGACAUGGAAGGAAGAGAGGAGGGAGAACGGGAGAUGUAUGGAGAGAGUAACAGAAAUUUACAAUAUUGUGUGUAAAAUAGAUGCUGCUGCUGCUGCUAAGUAGCUUCAGUCGUGUCCGACUCUGUGCGACCCCAUAGACGGCAGCCCACUAGGCUCCCCUGUCCCUGGGAUUCUCCAGGCAAGACACUGGAGUGGGUUGCCAUUUCCUUCUCCAGUGUAAAAUAGAUAGCCAAUGGGAAUUUUCUGUAUGACUCAGGGAACUUAAACAGGGGCUCUGUGACAGGAUGAAGGGUGAGAUGGGGAGGGAGAUGGGAGAAGGGUCUGGGAGGGAGGGGACAUGGGUGUACUAUGGCUGAUUCUUAUUGAUGUAUGAUAGAAAGCCACAAAAUUCUGUAAAGCAAUUAUCCUUCAAUUAAAAAACUUAUAUAUAUAUAUAUAAAAGAAUCCCCUUUCCAAUGCAGGAGACCUGGGUUCCGUCCCUAGCUGGAGAACUAAGAUACCACCUGUGGCAGACCAAGACCAUGAGGGGCAACGAAAGAUCCCAACUGUUGCAACUAAGACCUGACACAGCCAAUGAAUAAAUAAAUACUUUUAAAAAAAGCA
RNAcentral lists this long non-coding RNA (2522 nucleotides) under Bos mutus (wild yak). RNAcentral describes it as "lncRNA (ENSBMUG00000026247.1)". The record is from RNAcentral. Lineage: Eukaryota; Metazoa; Chordata; Mammalia; Artiodactyla; Bovidae.